RNAcentral lists this long non-coding RNA (749 nucleotides) under Triticum aestivum (bread wheat). RNAcentral describes it as "long non-coding RNA (TAES_LNC003761)". The record is from RNAcentral. Lineage: Eukaryota; Viridiplantae; Streptophyta; Magnoliopsida; Poales; Poaceae.
GAUUAAAUGGGAGAAAGGUCCACGUGGGGUGGUCAAAAUUUAUCCGCGGAAAGGCGAUAUCUGGGCCUUGUACCGAAAUUGGUCCCCUGAUUGGAAUGGAGAUACUCCUGAUAAUGUGCUUCAUGUUUAUGAUCUGGUUGAGGUACAGGAUGAUUAUGAUGAAGAUAAUGGAAUUUCUGUCAUUCCCUUGAUUAAGCUCACUGGAUUUCGAACAGUUUUCCAGCAUCAUCAGGACCGGGAUGUCAUCAAGAGGAUUCCAAAAGGAGAGAUGUUUCGGUUUUCACAUCAGGUUCCCUUUUACAGGAUGUCAGGGGAAGAAGCUCCAAAUGUCCCCAAAGGUAGCUAUGAGGUAGAUCCAGCUGCUAUCUCUAAAGAACUUCUUCAGGGAAUCACAGAAACUGUGAAGGAGGCAGAGGGAACUUCUAAAUGCUGAUGCUGACUCGGUUAUGCCUUUGUUGACCUGCCGUUUUGAAUCAAAUAUUUGUUGACAUCUGCUAGUUUCUAUAGUUUCCUAGCCUUGACUAUCACCUUUGUAUACAGUUGUUGAUCUGGGGCUAGCCAUUCCUAAAUCAUCUUGUAUGGCAUCUGGGCAUGUGUCUUGUCAUCUCAAAACUUAAACAGUGAUGCUGAUAAUGUGAGUUAGAGACAUAGUCAUUUUGUAUGUCACAAAAACUUGGAAGUGCUGAUACUUCUACAAUAUGUUUUUCUAUCUCUAGCUGUAUGAGAAUGAAGAUUUUGCUAUUUUAUCU